Molecule: ribosomal RNA, 249 nt
Filed under: uncultured bacterium
Lineage: Bacteria
Description: partial 16S ribosomal RNA
Rfam family: Bacterial small subunit ribosomal RNA
Source: RNAcentral
GACGAACUGUGCAAACGUUAUUCGGAAUCACUGGGCUUGAAGAGUGCGUAGGCGGUUUCGUAAGUAGGGUGUGAAAGCCCCCAGCUCAACUGGGGAACUGCGUCCUAAACUGCGAGGCUGGAGUGAGGUAGGGGUGUGUGGAACUUCCGGGUGGAGCGGUGAAAUGUAUUGAUAUCGGAAGGAACGCCGGUGGCGAAAGCGACACACUGGGCCUUGUCUGACGCUGAGGCACGAAAGCCAGGGGAGCAA